RNAcentral lists this long non-coding RNA (1267 nucleotides) under Homo sapiens (human). Its description in RNAcentral is "non-protein coding lnc-LRRC31-2:1". Lineage: Eukaryota; Metazoa; Chordata; Mammalia; Primates; Hominidae. The record is from RNAcentral.
AUAAACUGUUGGGUUAGAAUCUAUAUUAGAAUCUUUCAAACUAAUUGAAAACAGGAAGACUAUCAUCUAAGUAGCCAGAUAAUCUGGGUUUCAAAAAGUUAUUCCAUGGUACUGGUUUAAAAAAUACUUUUCAAGUGUUUUAAUUUUUAAAGUGUAACUAAUUCUUCAAAUAUGUUAUGCUGUUAAAAUAUGUAUUCCAUAAGUACUUUUUGUAUAUGUAUUCUUAAAUUUUAAAAAGUCAACUGAAUGCGCAAAGAUGAUAUAAUUUUGGAUGUAGACAUUUAAACUAGAUUCCCAGUCCUCUCCUUCAAAAGCUUGGUCUUUGUUUUUCCUAUAGGGAAAAAAGUCAAAAUAAGUUCCAAAAACUAUCCUCAAAGUAGUAUUGUGCUUGUAGUAAAUGAAGGUUGGAUGGAUGGAUACUGACAAUGGUGGCAGGCAUUUCAAGCCUUUUAAAUUAGUACUUUUUGUCGUCUUGCUUAUUAAAAUUUUGUUAAUUUUAGCAAAGACCAAUUGUUGUGAUAAACUGGUGUUUUUUGGAUGCUUCAAGCACACGUUAACCAAUUUUUUAAUUCCCCUUUUGGUUCCUCCCAUUGUUCUAAAAUAGGACUUUCAUAUUAUUAAAACCUCAAAAGAUGAUCCACCCAGGAUGAACAAAGAUCACCAAGGGGAAAGAAAACAUUUUUUAUCUUUACAGAAAACAUGUUAAGAUUAUAUAUAGAUGUAUUCUUUACAUUGGAUAUUGUAUUAGAGUCCUCCUUACAAGAAAUGAAAUAGUUUUUAGCACUCUUAGCAUUAGAGUUCCUAGAUUGGUGUUGAUAGCUACAGUUUUAAAAUGUAUAACCUGAAAAUGAAGGUUAAUUUUGCAUUGUAAGAGCACAUUUGAUCUAUGUAAAAAGUGUCCAUUUGGUGUAUUUUUUUAAAAAAGAGAAAGCACUUUCAUAUUAAGUAGCAUGUGUAUGAAUUUAGAUUUUCAUAUUUGUUGUGUCUGUAUUCAGUGAAGUAAAUUGAGCAUUUAAAUGUUUGUUGAUGGCAACAUUAACUAUUAAAUUAAAGCACCUUAUACUCUGCUGCUUAACUUGCUUGUAAUUGCACCUUUGUUACCUGCACAUUUUCAUAUAGAAUAUUGUUGUAACAUUGCUUCAUGUGGGUCUGGAUGGAAGAUUAGUGGGCCUACAGGAUCAUUUAUUUAUAUUGUUUAUAUUACAAUAAUAUAUUGUAGAUCAGUUGUAAGUUCAUUUCUUUACAAAUAAAAGCCUCUUCCAUUUGA